CCGGGGUUCCGCAAGCCGUCUCGAGCAAGCCGUUUUUGAGCUGUUCCGGCAAAGCCGAGAGUCCAAAAUCCGAUACCUUGAGGUUUCCAUUUCUGUCGAGGAGGAGGUUCUGGGGCUUCACGUCGCGGUGAGCGACGCCGUUUUUAUGGCAGAAGCUGAUGGCGGAGACAAGCUGCUGGAAGUAGCGACGAGCUGAGGCCUCGUUGAGUCGGCCCCGUCGACGGAGCUUGGAAAAGAGUUCUCCACCGGAGGCUAACUCCAUUAUUAGGUAGAUCUUUGACUUGGUGGCCAUAACUUCAUGGAUUUUGAGGAUAUU
This 316-nucleotide long non-coding RNA is filed under the name Carica papaya (papaya). Its description in RNAcentral is "long non-coding RNA (CPAP_LNC008394)". Lineage: Eukaryota; Viridiplantae; Streptophyta; Magnoliopsida; Brassicales; Caricaceae. The record is from RNAcentral.